Molecule: transfer RNA, 64 nt
Filed under: Pentapycnon charcoti
Lineage: Eukaryota; Metazoa; Arthropoda; Pycnogonida; Pantopoda; Pycnogonidae
Description: tRNA-Phe
Source: RNAcentral
GUUUAUUUAGCUUAAAUUAGAGUUUUACAUUGAAGAUGUAAAGGUAAAUUAUUAUUAUUAAACA